GACGAACGCUGGCGGCGUGCCUAAUACAUGCAAGUAGAACGCAGUUGCGAACGGGUGAGUAACGCGUAGGUAACUGCCUCAUAGCGGGGGAUAACUAUUGGAAACGAUAGCUAAUACCGCCUACUGUGAGAUGGACCUGCGUUGUAUUAGCUAGUUGGUGAGGUAAAGGGUCACCAAGGCGACGGUACAUAGCCGACCUGAGACGGUGGUGGGACACACCGGGAAUGGGAGAAGGGACAGACUCCGACUGGAGGCAGAAGUAGGGAAUCUUCGGGAAAGGAAGGAAGUCUGAACGAGCAAAGGCGGGUGAGGUGAGAAGGUUUUCGGGGCGGAAAGAUCUGUGGUUAGGGAAGCGGUAACUAACCAGAAAGCGACGGCUAACUACGUGCCAGCAGCCGCGGUAAUAC
RNAcentral lists this ribosomal RNA (407 nucleotides) under uncultured bacterium. RNAcentral describes it as "partial 16S ribosomal RNA". It matches the Rfam family "Bacterial small subunit ribosomal RNA", at positions 28 to 526 of the family's 1533-position model. The record is from RNAcentral.